CCAAACUUGGUCAUUUAGAGGAAGUAAAAGUCGUAACAAGGUUUCCGUAGGUGAACCUGCGGAAGGAUCAUUAAAAAAAAAAAGGGUCAAGAACGGGGGUGCGUUCCCCGUAUCUCGAGCCCCAUGUGAGACCAUACUACAGUUUGUUUUGGUGCGCCAGCUCCCUCUGGGCUGGGUGCCGGACUUCGUUUUGAAAACCCCACCCCUUUAAACCAGUGACGUCAGAGUCGUUUUUUCUGUAAACUUGAAAAACUUUCAACAACGGAUCUCUUGGUUCUCGCAUCGAUGAAGAACGCAGC
Molecule: unclassified non-coding RNA, 299 nt
Filed under: uncultured fungus
Lineage: Eukaryota; Fungi
Description: partial contains small subunit ribosomal RNA, internal transcribed spacer 1, and 5.8S ribosomal RNA
Rfam family: Eukaryotic small subunit ribosomal RNA (bases 1-73)
Source: RNAcentral